CAGUAGCCACGGUAAUACAGAGGGUGCAAGCGUUAAUCGGAUUUACUGGGCGUAAAGGGCGCGUAGGUGGUUAUUUAAGUGAGAUGUGAAAUCCCCGGGCUUAACCUGGGAACUGCAUCUUAUACUGGGUAACUGGAGUGCAGUAGAGGAUAGUGGAAUUUCCGGUGUAGCGGUGAAAUGCGUAGAUAUCGGAGGGAACACCAGUGACGAAGGCGGCCACCUGGACUGAGACUGACACUGAGGCGCGAGAGCGUGGGGAGCAAACAGGAUUAGAUACCCGAGUAGUCCCUGUCUCUUAUAC
This 301-nucleotide ribosomal RNA is filed under the name uncultured bacterium. Its description in RNAcentral is "partial 16S ribosomal RNA". It matches the Rfam family "Bacterial small subunit ribosomal RNA", at positions 509 to 807 of the family's 1533-position model. The record is from RNAcentral.